AGCCGCGGUAAUUCCAGCUCCAAUAGCGUAUAUUAAAGUUGUUGCAGUUAAAAAGCUCGUAGUUGAAUUUCGGGAUUGACACAUCGGUCGUGCCUUAAGGGGUAUGAACUGGUGUAGUCAAUUUCUCACCUUCUGGAGAACCGCAAUGCCCUUAAUUGGGUGUCGCGGGGAACCAGGACCUUUACUUUGAAAAAAUUAGAGUGUUUAAAGCAGGCAUUUUGCUUGAAUACAUUAGCAUGGAAUAAUAAAAUAGGACGGAUGAUUCUAUUUUGUUGGUUUCUAGGACCACCGUAAUGAUUAAUAGGGAUAGUUGGGGGCAUUAGUAUUCAAUUGUCAGAGGUGAAAUUCUUGGAUUUAUUGAAGACUAACUACCGCGAAAGCAUUUGCCAAGGAUGUUUUCAUUAAUCAAGAACGAAAGUUAGGGGAUCGAAGACGAUCAGAUACCGUCGUAGUCUUAACCAUAAACUAUGCCGACUAGGAAUCAGACGAUGUUAAUUUUUUAAUGACUCGUUUGGCACCUUACG
RNAcentral lists this unclassified non-coding RNA (524 nucleotides) under uncultured Glomeromycotina. Its description in RNAcentral is "SSU rRNA". It matches the Rfam family "Eukaryotic small subunit ribosomal RNA", at positions 572 to 1092 of the family's 1831-position model. The record is from RNAcentral. Lineage: Eukaryota; Fungi; Glomeromycota.